GUGCCAGCAGCCGCGGUAACACGUAGGGUGCGAGCGUUGUCCGGAAUUAUUGGGCGUAAAGAGCUCGUAGGCGGUGUGUCGCGUCGGCCGUGAAAACCUACAGCUUAACUGUGGGCGUGCGGUCGAUACGGGCAUCACUGGAGUUCGGCAGGGGAGACUGGAAUUCCUGGUGUAGCGGUGAAAUGCGCAGAUAUCAGGAGGAACACCGGUGGCGAAGGCGGGUCUCUGGGCCGAUACUGACGCUGAGGAGCGAAAGCGUGGGGAGCGAACAGGAUUAGAUACCCUGGUAGUCC
This 293-nucleotide ribosomal RNA is filed under the name uncultured microorganism. Its description in RNAcentral is "partial 16S ribosomal RNA". It matches the Rfam family "Bacterial small subunit ribosomal RNA", at positions 505 to 796 of the family's 1533-position model. The record is from RNAcentral.